Molecule: ribosomal RNA, 328 nt
Filed under: uncultured eukaryote
Lineage: Eukaryota
Description: partial 18S ribosomal RNA
Rfam family: Eukaryotic small subunit ribosomal RNA
Source: RNAcentral
CCCUUAGAUGUUCUGGGCCGCACGCGCGCUACAAUGAUGAAUUCAACGAGUUUAUAACCUUGGUUGAAAAGCCUGGGUAAUCUUUUGAACUUUCGUCGUGAUGGGGCUAGACCCUUGCAAUUAUUGGUCUCCAACGAGGAAUUCCUAGUAGGCGCAAGUCAUCAGCUUGCGUCGAUUACGUCCCUGCCCUUUGUACACACCGCCCGUCGCUCCUACCGAUUGGGUGUGCUGGUGAAAUGUUCGGAUCGGCCGUUUGUCGCGGUUUCCGCGUCAUGUGGCUGAGAAGUUCAUUAAACCCUCCCACCUAGAGGAAGGAGAAGUCGUAACA